RNAcentral lists this ribosomal RNA (924 nucleotides) under uncultured Bacteroidota bacterium. Its description in RNAcentral is "bacterial SSU rRNA". It matches the Rfam family "Bacterial small subunit ribosomal RNA", at positions 1 to 916 of the family's 1533-position model. Lineage: Bacteria; Pseudomonadati; Bacteroidota. The record is from RNAcentral.
GGAUCCAGACUUUGAUUCUGGCUCAGGAUGAACGCUGGCGGCGUGCCUAACACAUGCAAGUCGAACGGAGUUAUGAUGUGAGCGGGAAGUGCUUGCACUAAACAAUCUUUUCAUAACUUAGUGGCGGACGGGUGAGUAACGCGUGGGUAACCUGCCCUGUACUGGGGGACAACAGUUGGAAACGACUGCUAAUACCGCAUAAGCGCACGGGAUCGCAUGAUCCAGUGUGAAAAACUCCGGUGGUACAGGAUGGACCCGCGUCUGAUUAGCUGGUUGGUGAGGUAACGGCCCACCAAGGCAACGAUCAGUAGCCGGCCUGAGAGGGUGAACGGCCACAUUGGGACUGAGACACGGCCCAAACUCCUACGGGAGGCAGCAGUGGGGAAUAUUGCACAAUGGGGGAAACCCUGAUGCAGCGACGCCGCGUGAGUGAAGAAGUAUUUCGGUAUGUAAAGCUCUAUCAGCAGGGAAGAAAAUGACGGUACCUGACUAAGAAGCCCCGGCUAACUACGUGCCAGCAGCCGCGGUAAUACGUAGGGGGCAAGCGUUAUCCGGAUUUACUGGGUGUAAAGGGAGCGUAGACGGCAUGGCAAGUCUGAAGUGAAAUGCGGGGGCUCAACCCCUGAACUGCUUUGGAAACUGUCAGGCUGGAGUGCAGGAGAGGUAAGUGGAAUUCCUAGUGUAGCGGUGAAAUGCGUAGAUAUUAGGAGGAACACCAGUGGCGAAGGCGGCUUACUGGACUGUAACUGACGUUGAGGCUCGAAAGCGUGGGGAGCAAACAGGAUUAGAUACCCUGGUAGUCCACGCCGUAAACGAUGAUUACUAGGUGUUGGGGAUUUAUAAAUCCUCGGUGCCGUCGCAAACGCAAUAAGUAAUCCACCUGGGGAGUACGUUCGCAAGAAUGCAACUCAAAUGAAUUGACGG